This 666-nucleotide ribosomal RNA is filed under the name uncultured bacterium. RNAcentral describes it as "bacterial SSU rRNA". It matches the Rfam family "Bacterial small subunit ribosomal RNA", at positions 111 to 794 of the family's 1533-position model. The record is from RNAcentral.
UAACGCGUGGGUAACCUGCCUUACACUGGGGGAUAACACUUAGAAAUAGGUGCUAAUACCGCAUAAGCGCACGAAGCCGCAUGGAUUUGUGUGAAAAACUCCGGUGGUGUAAGAUGGACCCGCGUCUGAUUAGCUUGUUGGCGGGGUAACGGCCCACCAAGGCGACGAUCAGUAGCCGGCCUGAGAGGGUGACCGGCCACAUUGGGACUGAGACACGGCCCAAACUCCUACGGGAGGCAGCAGUGGGGGAUAUUGCACAAUGGGGGGAACCCUGAUGCAGCGACGCCGCGUGAGUGAAGGAGUACUCCGGUAUGUAAAGCUCUAUCAGCAGGGAAGAAGCAAGACGGUACCUGACCAAGAAGCCCCGGCUAACUACGUGCCAGCAGCCGCGGUAAUACGUAGGGGGCGAGCGUUAUCCGGAUUCACUGGGUGUAAAGGGAGCGUAGACGGCCGAUCAAGUCUGGAGUGAAAGCCCGGGGCCCAACCCCGGGACUGCUCUGGAAACUGGUGGGCUAGAGUGCUGGAGAGGUAAGUGGAAUUCCUAGUGUAGCGGUGAAAUGCGUAGAUAUUAGGAGGAACACCAGUGGCGAAGGCGGCUUACUGGACAGUGACUGACGUUGAGGCUCGAAAGCGUGGGGAGCAAACAGGAUUAGAUACCCUGGUAGU